UAGAGUUUGAUCCUGGCUCAGGACGAACGCUGGCGGCGUGCCUAAUACAUGCAAGUCGAGCGGACAGAUGGGAGCUUGCUCCCUGAUGUUAGCGGCGGACGGGUGAGUAACACGUGGGUAACCUGCCUGUAAGACUGGGAUAACUCCGGGAAACCGGGGCUAAUACCGGAUGGUUGUUUGAACCGCAUGGUUCAAACAUAAAAGGUGGCUUCGGCUACCACUUACAGAUGGACCCGCGGCGCAUUAGCUAGUUGGUGAGGUAACGGCUCACCGAGGCAACGAUGCGUAGCCGACCUGAGAGGGUGAUCGGCCACACUGGGACUGAGACACGGCCCAGACUCCUACGGGAGGCAGCAGUAGGGAAUCUUCCGCAAUGGACGAAAGUCUGACGGAGCAACGCCGCGUGAGUGAUGAAGGUUUUCGGAUCGUAAAGCUCUGUUGUUAGGGAAGAACAAGUACCGUUCGAAUAGGGCGGUACCUUGACGGUACCUAACCAGAAAGCCACGGCUAACUACGUGCCAGCAGCCGCGGUAAUACGUAGGUGGCAAGCGUUGUCCGGAAUUAUUGGGCGUAAAGGGCUCGCAGGCGGUUUCUUAAGUCUGAUGUGAAAGCCCCCGGCUCAACCGGGGAGGGUCAUUGGAAACUGGGGAACUU
Molecule: ribosomal RNA, 654 nt
Filed under: Bacillus subtilis
Lineage: Bacteria; Bacillati; Bacillota; Bacilli; Caryophanales; Bacillaceae
Description: bacterial SSU rRNA
Rfam family: Bacterial small subunit ribosomal RNA
Source: RNAcentral